This 489-nucleotide ribosomal RNA is filed under the name uncultured bacterium. Its description in RNAcentral is "SSU rRNA". It matches the Rfam family "Bacterial small subunit ribosomal RNA", at positions 26 to 521 of the family's 1533-position model. The record is from RNAcentral.
AGGACGAACGCUGGCGGCGUGCCUAACACAUGCAAGUGGAGCGACGAACCAGGCUUCGGCCUGGGGCAGAGCCGCGAACGGGUGAGUAACACGUGGGUAACCUGCCCUGAUGAUUGGGACAACCCGAGGAAACUCGGGCUAAUACCGAAUGUGCCCUCCGGCCUCAAGGCCGCUGGGGAAAGGAAGCUUCGGCCUCCGCAUCGGGAUGGGCCCGCGGCCCAUUAGCUUGUUGGUGAGGUAACGGCUCACCAAGGCAACGAUGGGUAGCUGGUCUGAGAGGACGAUCAGCCACACUGGGACUGAGACACGGCCCAGACUCCUACGGGAGGCAGCAGUGGGGAAUCUUGCGCAAUGCGCGAAAGCGUGACGCAGCAACGCCGCGUGGGGGAAGACGGCCUUCGGGUUGUAAACCCCUUUCAGCAGGGACGAAGCGAAAGUGACGGUACCUGCAGAAGAAGCGCCGGCUAACUACGCGCCAGCAGCCGCGGU